RNAcentral lists this ribosomal RNA (239 nucleotides) under uncultured bacterium. Its description in RNAcentral is "partial 16S ribosomal RNA". It matches the Rfam family "Bacterial small subunit ribosomal RNA", at positions 62 to 334 of the family's 1533-position model. The record is from RNAcentral.
UCGAGGGGUUUAGACCCCGGCGAACGGGUGAGUAAUACCUAGGAAUUUUACUUAAGUUUGGGAUAUCCUCCCGAAAGGGAGAGCAAUACCAGAUGUUAUCGCAAGAUAAAAGGAGCAAUCCGCUUAAGUUGAAGCCUGGGCCCCAUCAGCUAGUUGGUAAGGUAAUGGCUUACCAAGGCUAUGACGGGUAGCGGAAGCGAGAGCUUGAUCCGCCACACUGGGACUGCGACACGGCCCAG